CCGUGCUAGGUGGGAAGGUAGCGGUGUCCUGUAACCUGCAAUCCGCUCUAGCAGGACUGAAUUCCUUUCUGAGGCUGUUUGUAUGCAAGGUCUGCCUCAUGCACGUAGUGUUGACAUCUGGG
Molecule: signal recognition particle RNA, 122 nt
Filed under: Streptococcus pneumoniae
Lineage: Bacteria; Bacillati; Bacillota; Bacilli; Lactobacillales; Streptococcaceae
Description: partial signal recognition particle sRNA large type
Rfam family: Bacterial large signal recognition particle RNA
About the family: The signal recognition particle (SRP) is a universally conserved ribonucleoprotein involved in the co-translational targeting of proteins to membranes. Archaeal SRP consists of a 7S RNA and homologues of the eukaryotic SRP19 and SRP54 proteins. In most bacteria, the SRP consists of a 4.5S RNA and the Ffh protein (a homologue of the eukaryotic SRP54 protein).
Source: RNAcentral